Molecule: ribosomal RNA, 495 nt
Filed under: uncultured bacterium
Lineage: Bacteria
Description: partial 16S ribosomal RNA
Rfam family: Bacterial small subunit ribosomal RNA
Source: RNAcentral
GACGAACGCUGGCGGCGUGCCUAAUACAUGCAAGUAGAACGCUGAAGGAGUAGCUUGCUCCUCUGGAUGAGUGGCGAACGGGUGAGUAAGGCGUAUGUAACCUGCCUUGUAGUGGGGGAUAACUAUUGGAAACGAUAGUUAAUACAGCAUAACAGUAGAUGUUCCAUGACAUUUGCUUAAUAGGUGCACUUGCAUCACUACCAGAUGGACCUGCGUUGUUUUAGCUAGUUGGUGGGGUAACGGCCCACCAAGGCGAAGACACAUAUCCGACCUGAGGAGGUGGACCGCCAAACUGGGAAUGGAAACAGGCCCAAAAUCCUUCGGGAGGGAACAGUAGGGGAACAUUGGACAUGGACGGAAGGCUUGACGAGGAACGACGCGGGAGUGAAGGAGGUUUUCGGAUCGUAAAGGUCUGUUGUUAGGGAAGAAAGAGCGUGAGGGUGAAAAGUUCACGCUGUGACGGUAUCUAAACAGAAAGCGACGGCUAACUACGUG